AUUACGUUCUCUGUUCGAAGUCCUUAAUCAGCUGUUUUGACAGAAAUUAAAGCCUACACAAGUGAUGUUGCAAGUGGGAAGCGAGAUUAAAACCAGCAUUUAUUAAAAAUGUGUAACGAAUUUUUUUGGAAAUUAAUAACAAUAAGAUCGGUUCUGCAACCGCUGCACUUUUGUGCCAGAUGGAAGAACAUGCUUCAGCCAACAAUUGUAGGAAUAUGCAAUGAGACUUACGAGAAGCUUCUACGCCAUUCAAUUAAAAGAUAAAUAUUUUUGAAAAAUGUUCGUCUCAACCUCAGUGUACUUUCAAGAAAGACGCAUUCAAAAGCUCGUCUAAGAAAAUUUGUGUUUUAGCUCAUGAUGCUUAUGACGCCCCGCGAAUCAAGGCGUACUGAAAGAGGUGCGCGGAGUUGGGCGGGUUAAACAGUUUUUCGACCACCAGAAGCAGAUAUGUCGGUGCUCGGUAUCCUGGAAAUAGCCAUGCCUCUCAUGUGUGGAAUGCAAGCGAUGCUAAAGUUUACAUUGUGGAGAGAUAUUAGCAGGGAGGCAAACUAUCUAGAUAAUAUAAAGGUGAUUAUGGAUCCCCAUCACAGCCGCCGGUAGUCACACCACUGAUAUUAAUAAUUAUAUAAAUAAUAUAAAAAAAAUGUAUGCUUGAUGUAACAUGAAUUAUCUUCUGGGCCGAAACCUAAAUGAAAUUUAAAAUGUUAAAAUUUUAAGAUAAAUUCAGAUCCUUUCUUAAAAAUACUAGUUUUAAGUCACAUAAUUGAGUCACUAUAUAAUUAAUUUAGUCAUAAUUAAGUCACUAUAUGCUUCCAAUAUUCGUAAUAUGUUUCGUGCUAAUAUAGUUCAUUAUAUAAUAUGUAAAAACCUUUUAAAUUGAAAUUCUAAAGUCUAAAACUUGGCACCAAAAUUUUCUAGUCAAUUAGCAUUUUUUAAAAAUACCUACGUAUACAGUUUUAUAGCCCAUUAAAUUUCAGUAUAAUAAAAUGUAAGAAAAGACUACUUCUCUAUAAAAUGUGCUUAAAUAAUGUAACCAAAAAUAUAUGUAUGUAUGUAAAUUAAGUUUUUUCUUAAACCUUAGACUCCGGUUAUUGAUAUUCACUUUAGUUACUCUAUCAUUAAUAAAGACUAAUCAAUUGAGAGGUAUCGGAUUUUUUAUUGAAAUAAAACAAUGAAAACUCGCA
Long non-coding RNA from Anastrepha ludens (Mexican fruit fly), 1184 nucleotides. RefSeq lists it as uncharacterized. The record is from RefSeq and is a predicted model, not a curated record. The transcript is spliced from 3 exons. NCBI's taxonomy places the organism in Eukaryota, Metazoa, Arthropoda, Insecta, Diptera, Tephritidae.